ACAGGCUGUUUCCCUGAAUAGUUUCCAUUUGUGGCUGGUUAAAUCCAUGGGUGCAGAACUCGAGGACUGAGGUCCCGCCGUACCUAGGAAAUGCCAUGUGCGAUGCACGCAGGUGUGAGUGGCCUGACGGCGUGUGGCCUGGCCCCUCACUACUGAAGAGUGCUAGUUACUGAUCUGAGGAUUCGAUGGAGACGGCCUGCCCUGUCUGCCCACCGAGCUUCUACCUCGUGUGCUGUACCCUGUUCUCAGCAGAGGAUCUGCAGUUGGCUUUUACCAGACUGAAAUCCUCCUCCCGAGCGGGUUGGUCCAGUGGCAGAUCCUGGCAUUAAAUGGCCCCUGUGUGAA
This is a non-coding RNA of Heterocephalus glaber (naked mole-rat), 345 nucleotides long. The record is from RefSeq and is a predicted model, not a curated record. Lineage: Eukaryota; Metazoa; Chordata; Mammalia; Rodentia; Bathyergidae.